AACGCGAAGAACCUUACCUACUCUUGACAUCCAGCGAACUUAGCAGAGAUGCUUUGGUGCCUUCGGGAACGCUGAGACAGGUGCUGCAUGGCUGUCGUCAGCUCGUGUUGUGAAAUGUUGGGUUAAGUCCCGCAAUGAGCGCAACCCUUAUCCUUUGUUGCCAGCGAUUCGGUCGGGAACUCAAAGGAGACUGCCGGUGAUAAACCGGAGGAAGGUGGGGAUGACGUCAAGUCAUCAUGGCCCUUACGAGUAGGGCUACACACGUGCUACAAUGGCGCAUACAAAGAGAAGCGACCUCGCGAGAGCAAGCGGACCUCACAAAGUGCGUCGUAGUCCGGAUCGGAGUCUGCAACUCGACUCCGUGAAGUCGGAAUCGCUAGUAAUCGUGAAUCAGAAUGCCACGGUGAAUACGUUCCCGGGUCUUGUACACACGC
RNAcentral lists this ribosomal RNA (434 nucleotides) under uncultured Pantoea sp. Its description in RNAcentral is "bacterial SSU rRNA". It matches the Rfam family "Bacterial small subunit ribosomal RNA", at positions 958 to 1393 of the family's 1533-position model. Lineage: Bacteria; Pseudomonadati; Pseudomonadota; Gammaproteobacteria; Enterobacterales; Erwiniaceae. The record is from RNAcentral.